CCUUGCCAAGGUUGGGGUCGUGAGUUCGAAUCUCAUCACCCGCUCCAGUUCAAACAAAAGUGCCGGCAAAGACGC
RNAcentral lists this transfer RNA (75 nucleotides) under Pararhodospirillum photometricum DSM 122. Its description in RNAcentral is "tRNA-Gly". The record is from RNAcentral. Lineage: Bacteria; Pseudomonadati; Pseudomonadota; Alphaproteobacteria; Rhodospirillales; Rhodospirillaceae.